Molecule: ribosomal RNA, 465 nt
Filed under: Vreelandella stevensii
Lineage: Bacteria; Pseudomonadati; Pseudomonadota; Gammaproteobacteria; Oceanospirillales; Halomonadaceae
Description: partial 16S ribosomal RNA
Rfam family: Bacterial small subunit ribosomal RNA
Source: RNAcentral
CCUACGGGGGGCUGCAGUGGGGAAUAUUGGACAAUGGGGGGAACCCUGAUCCAGCCAUGCCGCGUGUGUGAAGAAGGCCCUCGGGUUGUAAAGCACUUUCAGUGAGGAAGAACGCCUGGUGGUUAAUACCCAUCAGGAAAGACAUCACUCACAGAAGAAGCACCGGCUAACUCCGUGCCAGCAGCCGCGGUAAUACGGAGGGUGCGAGCGUUAAUCGGAAUUACUGGGCGUAAAGCGCGCGUAGGUGGCUUGAUAAGCCGGUUGUGGAAGCCCCGGGCUCAACCUGGGAACGGCAUCCGGAACUGUCAAGCUAGAGUGCAGGAGAGGAAGGUAGAAUUCCCGGUGUAGCGGUGAAAUGCGUAGAGAUCGGGAGGAAUACCAGUGGCGAAGGCGGCCUUCUGGACUGACACUGACACUGAGGUGCGAAAGCGUGGGUAGCAAACAGGAUUAGAUACCCUGGUAGUC